GCUACGGCCAUACCAGCCUGGGUACGCCCGAUCUUGUCUGAUCUCGGAAGCUAAGCAGGGUCGGGCCUGGUUAGUACUUGGAUGGGAGACAGCCUGGGAAUACCAGGUGCUGUAAGCA
Molecule: ribosomal RNA, 118 nt
Filed under: Salmo salar (Atlantic salmon)
Lineage: Eukaryota; Metazoa; Chordata; Actinopteri; Salmoniformes; Salmonidae
Source: RNAcentral